CAGAUUAGAGCUUGGUUUAAGCAUUUUAUUUACAUUAAAAAGUCUAUUGUUAAUUCAAUAUAAUUUGA
This 68-nucleotide transfer RNA is filed under the name Pachyrhinus yasumatsui. RNAcentral describes it as "tRNA-Val". The record is from RNAcentral. Lineage: Eukaryota; Metazoa; Arthropoda; Insecta; Coleoptera; Curculionidae.